GAUGAAGAACGAAGCGAAAUGCGAUACUUGGUGUGAAUUGCAGAAUCCCGUGAACCAUCGAGUCUUUGAACGCAAGUUGCGCCCGAAGCCAUUAGGCCGAGGGCACGCCUGCCUGGGCGUCACACGUCGUUGCCCCCCCAUCUACUCCUUCGGGAUUGCGGGGGGCGGAUGAUGGCCUCCCGUGCGCCUCGUCGCGCGGUUGGCAUAAAUGCCAAGUCCUCGGCGACACACGCCACGACAAUCGGUGGUUGCGAAACCUCGGUUGCCCGUCGUGUGCGGUCGUCGCGCAUCGAGGGCUCGAAAAAAUUGCCGGGCUCCGGCUCGGCUUUCAACGCGACCCCAGGUCAGGCGGGGUUACCCGCUGAAUUUAAGCAUAUCAAUAAGCGGAGGA
Molecule: unclassified non-coding RNA, 391 nt
Filed under: soil metagenome
Description: partial contains 5.8S ribosomal RNA, internal transcribed spacer 2, and large subunit ribosomal RNA
Rfam family: 5.8S ribosomal RNA (bases 1-122)
Source: RNAcentral